This 253-nucleotide ribosomal RNA is filed under the name uncultured bacterium. Its description in RNAcentral is "partial 16S ribosomal RNA". It matches the Rfam family "Bacterial small subunit ribosomal RNA", at positions 524 to 776 of the family's 1533-position model. The record is from RNAcentral.
GACAGAGGGUGCAAACGUUGCUCGGAAUUACUGGGCGUAAAGGGCGUGUAGGCGGGAAGGCAAGUCGGGCGUGAAAGCCCCAGGCUCAACCUGGGAACUGCACUCGAAACUGCCUUUCUUGAGUGCCGGAGAGGAAAGCGGAAUUCCUGGUGUAGAGGCGAAAUUCGUAGAUAUCAGGAGGAACACCAGUGGCGAAGGCGGGUCUCUGGGCCGAAAUUGACGCUGAGGAGCGAAAGCGUGGGGAGCAAACAGG